Long non-coding RNA from Peromyscus eremicus (cactus mouse), 550 nucleotides. RefSeq lists it as uncharacterized. The record is from RefSeq and is a predicted model, not a curated record. Lineage: Eukaryota; Metazoa; Chordata; Mammalia; Rodentia; Cricetidae. The transcript has 2 exons.
GCCUGACUGUUCCAGAGGUCAUGCUGGCAGCAGACAUAAACCCAGUGGCAUGAAACCAUGUCCUCAUGACAAACAUCUCACUGUUGCUUCCGAGGAUGAAGCUACCCCAGAAGAGUCAUGUGCAGGCCAGGAAGGAGACUGAUGGUCAGGGAAUCACCCUAUGGUUGGGGCAUGAUCUUGGCAUGAUCCAAGAGCUCACAACUUACUGAUAGGACAGCUUUCUCAACAGAGGCAUUCGCCCGCAAGCCAAAGUUAGGAGAAGUGAUGGCCAGAGGAAGCUGACAGAGGAAGUCCACCAGGACACACCAAACACUCAUCUCUGUUGUGGUAAACGAUGACUUUAAUUUACAAGGCAGAUGAAUACUAAAUCUUCAUGAAAUUAAAAACUAUAUUAUUUAUGUGAGCGGAAACGGAAAAUGUUCUGUAGCUAGCAGCAAUCCUGCUUUGUAGGAGGGACACUAAAAUAAUUAAAACCACUCGUGCUUCAGUAAUAAAUAAUGAUAAUAAAUAAAUGUCCUGACCUUAAGCGAAAAUAUAAAAUUAAAACCCA